Molecule: small nuclear RNA, 19 nt
Filed under: Arabidopsis thaliana (thale cress)
Lineage: Eukaryota; Viridiplantae; Streptophyta; Magnoliopsida; Brassicales; Brassicaceae
Description: snRNA_16643
Source: RNAcentral
UGGAGUUGGUCCUGGUCGG